RNAcentral lists this long non-coding RNA (453 nucleotides) under Struthio camelus australis. RNAcentral describes it as "lncRNA (ENSSCUG00000018610.1)". The record is from RNAcentral. Lineage: Eukaryota; Metazoa; Chordata; Aves; Struthioniformes; Struthionidae.
UAUCAGGGUAAGGACUUGGUCUCUCAAGUCUUUUGCUUUUGCUCUAAUCAUAGUACUGUGCUUCCUCUCAGGUCACGGGGACAAUGGUUGACAGCAUGCCAUGACUCUUUGUGAAGCCAAAUCCAAACUUCAGCAUGGAGUGACAAGGAGAAGGAUAACACUAGUGAACAUGUCAAGAUUCAAAGGACUUACAAGUGAAAAAAGACAGGGAAGAAGAGAGGGUUUUUUGAUACUCUGGAACAAGGCAAUGAAAACAGAAGGUAUAAACAACCUCUUUUAAAGGGUUGUUUGAUGUCUUACUAAUUAGGUCAGGAUUUUCUGAUCAGAGUUCUUCAGUACCCACUGAAUUCAUUAUUACUUAAAUUUGAAUAGCACAGGACAAAUACUGAUGAGGUGGCUUGGGUUCAGGGUGUCCGGGACCCUUUAUGCAGGCAAAAUAUUGCUGACAUUGGG